GUAGUCCACACCCUAAACUAUGUCAACUGGUUGUCGGGGGAUUAACUCCCUUGGUAACGAAGCUAACGCGUGAAGUUGACCGCCUGGGGAGUACGGCCGCAAGGUUAAAACUCAAAGGAAUUGACGGGGACCCGCACAAGCGGUGGAUUAUGUGGAUUAAUUCGAUGCAACGCGAAAAAACCUUACCUACCCUUGACAUGUACGGAAUCUCCCAGAGAUGGGAGAGUGCCCGAAAGGGAACCGUAACACAGGUGCUGCAUGGCUGUCGUCAGCUCGUGUCGUGAGAUGUUGGGUUAAG
This 298-nucleotide ribosomal RNA is filed under the name uncultured bacterium. RNAcentral describes it as "partial 16S ribosomal RNA". It matches the Rfam family "Bacterial small subunit ribosomal RNA", at positions 790 to 1084 of the family's 1533-position model. The record is from RNAcentral.